Long non-coding RNA from Trematomus bernacchii (emerald rockcod), 348 nucleotides. RefSeq lists it as uncharacterized. NCBI's taxonomy places the organism in Eukaryota, Metazoa, Chordata, Actinopteri, Perciformes, Nototheniidae. The transcript has 3 exons. The record is from RefSeq and is a predicted model, not a curated record.
GUGUAGAAAGACUCGAUUUAAGUAAUUACAGAAGCACAGCUAUUCCUGGAUCCUCACAAUGACAUAUUUUUACUUUCUUGGGUUCUUUAUACUAUGCCUUAAAAUGGAUACGUCUUUACAACAGGAAGGGAUAAUAUGUACAGCACCCGAGAUUGAAAAUGGUGAUGUGCUUGGACAAAUCCAAGAGUACAAAGAAAAUCAAGUCCUGGAGUUUCAGUGUAAACCCUCAUUUACACGCGCUGAAGCCAGAUCUUCAAAAUGCACAGAGCGAGGAGUAAGAGCAGAAUGGAGCCCCACACCUCUGUGUGAACCAAUAACAUGUAAACUACAACUGCCAGGGCUGAAGGA